Molecule: long non-coding RNA, 2061 nt
Filed under: Homo sapiens (human)
Lineage: Eukaryota; Metazoa; Chordata; Mammalia; Primates; Hominidae
Description: non-protein coding lnc-POLR2K-2:1
Source: RNAcentral
GCUGCUUGUCUCACCUGUGCCAACAUCCUGGGGUUGAGGAGUGGAGCAAAUGUUCCAUUUGGCUGUUGCACUCCGGUCCACCCCGUGUACCCUUCCUUCAGAGGCGAUCGCCAUGGCUGUUAGGCCUUGAGGCAGAAGUGCCCACGCACGGUGGCGAGAGUGCCAUGGACCUCUGCCACAGUGGAUUUUAUGGUUGCGGGACCUCGGUGCCUUCCUGUGCACAGCUGGCACUCUUCACGCCGUGUCUCUGAUGACUUGGUAGUAGAGAAGUCCCUCAAGUCCUUCAAGGACAAGAACAAGAAGCUUGAGGAAGGCGGCCAAGUGUACACCCCCACCCCACAGAGGUGGUGGUGAAUAAGUCGCUCGGGCAGAGGGAGCUGGAUGAGCUGAAGCGCUACUGCCUUGGCUUCUGCCUGCUGUGGAUCCAUGCCAAGAUCGUGGUGCUCAUGCUGUGGCACAUCCUUGACAGCCACACCCUGACCAGGCAAAGCGCAGGCAGUUUCUCCGGAUCCGCGCCGACCUCCUCCGCUUGGUGCCGUUCCUUGUGUUCGUGGUUGUCCAGUUCAUGGAAUUCCUGCCGCCCGUGACCAUGAAGCUCUUCCCCAGCAUGCCAGCAUCCACGUUUGAGACCCAGUCCAUCAAGGAGGAGAGCCUGAAGGAGCUUCGGGUCAACCUGGAGCUGGCAGAGUUCCUCCAGGACACCAUCGAGGAGAGGACCUUGAAGAACAUAGCAGCCAAGGGCAGUGCCACCAGACUUCUCCGUUUUCCCAGAAGAUCCGGGGGAUGGGGGAGAGACCCAGCAAUGAGGAAAUCAUGCGUUUUUCCAAAUUAUUUGAGAAUGAGCUGACCCUGGACAACCUGUCACGGCCGCAGCUGGUGGCGCCGUGCAAGCUGCUGGAGCUGCAGUCCAUCGGCAUCAACAACUUCUGCGGUUCCAGCUCACCAUGUGACUGCGCUCCAUAAAGGCCAAUGAUAAGCUGAUUGCUGAGGAGGGGUGGACAACCUGAACGUCAAGGGGCUGCAGCCGGCGUGUGGGAAGUGAGGUAUGUGGGCCCUCCGCCUCAGCUGAAGCAGUGUCUGGACCUGCACCUGCAUCAGGAGAUUCCCAUAUCGCUACUCAUCCUGUCCCAGACGAUGUACCUCCCAGAAACUCUUGCCAGCUGACCAGCUCAAGUCCAUACUGCAGACUCUCCCAGAGAUUGUGGCAAAGGAAGAGCAGGUGAAAGUGGCUGAGGUGGAGGGUGGGCAAGUGCACAAGGUAAAGCUGGAGGUCACGCUGCAGGAGGAGGCAGCCAUCCAGCAGGAGCACCACAAGGAGCUGCAGAAGCGCUCGGAGUUGGAGAAGGAUGUCGCGCCCGAAGGUGUGGAAGCCACCCCUCGAAGGCCAGGGGCCUAACCUCAGCCAGAAGUGCCUGAAGCAGUCCUGUGGUCAGAGACCCUGAAGGACACUGCCCCCUGCUAGAGAGCUUGAAGGAGAAGGAGAUAACUAAGGAGGAAAUCGACAUCCUCAGCGAUGCCUGCUCUAAGCUGAAGGAGCAGAAGUCGCUCACCAAAGAGAAGGAGGAGCUGGAGCUGCUGAAGGAGGACGUGCAGGACUACAGCGAGAACAUGCAAGAGAUCAAGAAGGAACUCUCAAAGACUGGUAGGUGAAGAAAAAUAUGUGAAAGCAUCUAAAGCCACCAAGAGACUGACAGAGGGUGCAGCAGAUGAUCGGGCAGAUCGAGGGCUUGAUCUCACACCUGGAGAUGGACCAGGGCCUGCAAGCUGGGCCUGGCCUAGGGCGCGCCCGUAGGGGAGAACAUCAUCAGUGUCACUGAGCUCAUCAGCACCAUGAAGCAAGUCAGGCACAUUCCAGAAAGCAAGCUCACCAGCCUGGCCUCAGCACUGGAUGAAGACAAGAAUGGCAAGGUCAACAUCAAUGACCUCAUCAAUGUGAUUGAGUUGGUGGACAAAGAUGUUCAUGCCUCCACCAGCCAGGUGGCCAAGAUUGUAGCGACCUUGGAGAAAGAAGAGAAGAUGGAGGAGAAGACUGAGAAGGAGGCCGCAGAGGUGAAGAGCUAG